UCGCAGGAUCACGAGCACAACGAUGCUCGAGCAUACAAAGCAGCAGGUACACAAGUCUGCUCGAGCUGCUGUAGUGAUGCUCAGUAACGGCGAUGUCCGAGCGCUUCGCACAGUGCUGGAUGAUGGGGGCUUCGUAACCAAGACCAAGCAGAGUGCUCUUCAGUCGCAAGGUGCGUGUACGCGCUCACAAAUGGGACAUUUUGGGGCACAGCUGAGAGCUUCAAAACUGCGCCUGUACACUUCAUAGUGCUUAAUGCGAUGGGACCCAUCCUGCAGGAACGAACUGCGUCUGCGACACUGAGGAAGGUGCCAGGCAAGGAGAAGGUUAGAAUGAAAAAUGCAGAAAACACUGGGAUUGUUGCCAGCAAUAAUAAGAGAGGAGGACAUGUGAAUCAGAAUAAGAAACCUCUUAAAAAAACAGUGCCCUUGCAUCCAGGGCAAGAGAAGGAUCCUCUGCCCAAAGCCGAAAUUGUCCAAAAUGGCAUUAAACCAAAGAAAGCUAAGAGUCCGUCUGGUGGCACUUGCAAGUUGCGU
This 534-nucleotide long non-coding RNA is filed under the name Sinocyclocheilus grahami. RNAcentral describes it as "lncRNA (ENSSGRG00000036448.1)". The record is from RNAcentral. Lineage: Eukaryota; Metazoa; Chordata; Actinopteri; Cypriniformes; Cyprinidae.